GCUGGCGGCAGGCCUAACACAUGCAAGUCGAGCGCCGUAGCAAUACGGAGCGGCAGACGGGAGAGUAACACGUGGGAACGUGCCCUUCAGUUCGGAACAACCCAGGGAAACUUGGGCUAAUACCGGAUACGUCCGAAAGGAGAAAGAUUUAUCGCUGAAGGAUCGGCCCGCGUCUGAUUAGCUAGUUGGUGAGGUAACGGCUCACCAAGGCGACGAUCAGUAGCUGGUCUGAGAGGAUGAUCAGCCUCACUGGGACUGAGACACGGCCCAGACUCCUACGGGAGGCAGCAGUGGGGAAUAUUGGACAAUGGGCGCAAGCCUGAUCCAGCCAUGCCGCGUGGAUGAUGAAGGCCCUAGGGUUGUAAAGUCCUUUCGGCGGGGAAGAUAAUGACGGUACCCGCAGAAGAAGCCCCGGCUAACUUCGUGCCAGCAGCCGCGGUAAUACGAAGGGGGCUAGCGUUGCUCGGAAUCACUGGGCGUAAAGCGCACGUAGGCGGCUUUUUAAGUCA
Molecule: ribosomal RNA, 509 nt
Filed under: uncultured soil bacterium
Lineage: Bacteria
Description: bacterial SSU rRNA
Rfam family: Bacterial small subunit ribosomal RNA
Source: RNAcentral